UACGAAGGGGGCUAGCGUUGUUCGGAAUUACUGGGCGUAAAGCGUAUGCAGGCGGAUCGUUAAGUCGGGGGUGAAAUCCCGAGGCUCAACCUCGGAACUGCCUUCGAUACUGGCGACCUUCGAGUCCGGGAGAGGUGAGUGGAACUCCGAGUGUAGAGGUGAAAUUCGUAGAUAUUCGGAAGAACACCAGUGGCGAAGGCGGCUCACUGGCCCGGUACUGACGCUGAGGAGCGAAAGCGUGGGGAGCGAACAGG
This 254-nucleotide ribosomal RNA is filed under the name uncultured bacterium. Its description in RNAcentral is "partial 16S ribosomal RNA". It matches the Rfam family "Bacterial small subunit ribosomal RNA", at positions 524 to 776 of the family's 1533-position model. The record is from RNAcentral.